Molecule: long non-coding RNA, 442 nt
Filed under: Rosa chinensis
Lineage: Eukaryota; Viridiplantae; Streptophyta; Magnoliopsida; Rosales; Rosaceae
Description: sRNA RchiOBHm_Chr4g0385461
Source: RNAcentral
UUUUUAUUUCCACAUACACAAUUUGACACCAAAUGACCAUUUCACCCUAAACCCAAUUAAAGAAUCACAAUCACUGCCUCUCAACAUCAAUCUCUCUCACAUCCCGAUCUUUCUCUCCUCUGUGUGCCGUCUCUCUCUCCUUUCUCUCACCUCCGAAAAUCCUCCACUCGAUCGAGUGCGAGCUGUGCUGCAGAUCCCAAUUCUGCGGUUCGAAUCUCAUCUCUAGGAGUAUAGAAGAUGGGAUCAAGUGGCAGUAAAGCCACGUCGUCGUCGUUGCUCGACGAUAGUGGUUGGAGGCGACGAUCCAAAUCCAUCACCGAUAGAGUGUUCCACUCGUCUUGUCUUGGAAUCAAAUUUUGAUCUAGCCACAGAGUCGAUGACAAACAGAUCGAACGUCUCAAGCCGAAGGAAUAAAGUAAAGUCAGUCGGUUUGAGACUUUGA